UACGUAGGGCGCAAGCGUUGUCCGGAAUUAUUGGGCGUAAAGAGCUCGUAGGCGGUCUGUCGCGUCUGCCGUGAAAACCCGAGGCUUAACCUCGGGCUGGCGGUGGAUACGGGCAGACUAGAGGUAGGUAGGGGAGAAUGGAAUUCCCGGUGUAGCGGUGAAAUGCGCAGAUAUCGGGAAGAACACCCGUGGCGAAGGCGGUUCUCUGGGACGGUACUGACGCUGAGACGCGAAAGCGUGGGGAGCGAACAGG
Molecule: ribosomal RNA, 253 nt
Filed under: uncultured bacterium
Lineage: Bacteria
Description: partial 16S ribosomal RNA
Rfam family: Bacterial small subunit ribosomal RNA
Source: RNAcentral